UAGCUCAGUGGUAGAGCGCUUGCCUCACAUGCAUGAGGCCCUGGGUUCGAUUCCUCAG
RNAcentral lists this transfer RNA (58 nucleotides) under Dipodomys ordii (Ord's kangaroo rat). It matches the Rfam family "tRNA", at positions 8 to 63 of the family's 71-position model. From Rfam's summary of the family: Transfer RNA (tRNA) molecules are approximately 80 nucleotides in length. Their secondary structure includes four short double-helical elements and three loops (D, anti-codon, and T loops). The record is from Rfam by way of RNAcentral. Lineage: Eukaryota; Metazoa; Chordata; Mammalia; Rodentia; Heteromyidae.